Molecule: ribosomal RNA, 450 nt
Filed under: uncultured bacterium
Lineage: Bacteria
Description: partial 16S ribosomal RNA
Rfam family: Bacterial small subunit ribosomal RNA
Source: RNAcentral
GUGGGGAAUAUUGGACAAUGGGGGGAACCCUGAUCCAGCCAUGCCGCGUGUGUGAAGAAGGUCUUCGGAUUGUAAAGCACUUUAAGUUGGGAGGAAGGGUAGUAACCUAAUACGUUGCUACUUUGACGUUACCGACAGAAUAAGCACCGGCUAACUUCGUGCCAGCAGCCGCGGUAAUACGAAGGGUGCAAGCGUUAAUCGGAAUUACUGGGCGUAAAGCGCGCGUAGGUGGUUUUGUAAGUUGGAGGUGAAAUCCCCGGGCUCAACCUGGGAACUGCCUCCAAAACUGCAUGACUAGAGUACGGUAGAGGGUAGUGGAAUUUCCUGUGUAGCGGUGAAAUGCGUAGAUAUAGGAAGGAACACCAGUGGCGAAGGCGACUACCUGGACUGAUACUGACACUGAGGUGCGAAAGCGUGGGGAGCAAACAGGAUUAGAAACCCUGGUAGUCC